This 74-nucleotide transfer RNA is filed under the name Verrucomicrobiia bacterium. Its description in RNAcentral is "tRNA-Arg". It matches the Rfam family "tRNA". Rfam says of the family: Transfer RNA (tRNA) molecules are approximately 80 nucleotides in length. Their secondary structure includes four short double-helical elements and three loops (D, anti-codon, and T loops). Lineage: Bacteria; Pseudomonadati; Verrucomicrobiota; Verrucomicrobiia. The record is from RNAcentral.
GUUCCCGUGGUGUAGCAGAAGCAUGGCGCUGUGCGAAGGCGUCGGCCUGGGUGCAAAUCCCGGCGGGAACACCA